GCCCUCGUAGUUCAACGGAUAGAAUGUGGGCCUCCGAAGCCCAAGAUUGAGGUUCAAUUCCCCACGAGGGCA
Molecule: transfer RNA, 72 nt
Filed under: bacterium
Lineage: Bacteria
Description: tRNA-Arg
Rfam family: tRNA
About the family: Transfer RNA (tRNA) molecules are approximately 80 nucleotides in length. Their secondary structure includes four short double-helical elements and three loops (D, anti-codon, and T loops). Further hydrogen bonds mediate the characteristic L-shaped molecular structure. tRNAs have two regions of fundamental functional importance: the anti-codon, which is responsible for specific mRNA codon recognition, and the 3' end, to which the tRNAs corresponding amino acid is attached (by aminoacyl-tRNA synthetases). tRNAs cope with the degeneracy of the genetic code in two manners: having more than one tRNA (with a specific anti-codon) for a particular amino acid; and 'wobble' base-pairing, i.e. permitting non-standard base-pairing at the 3rd anti-codon position.
Source: RNAcentral